RNAcentral lists this ribosomal RNA (308 nucleotides) under uncultured Nitrososphaerota archaeon. RNAcentral's name for it is "bacterial SSU rRNA". It matches the Rfam family "Archaeal small subunit ribosomal RNA", at positions 341 to 647 of the family's 1478-position model. Lineage: Archaea; Thermoproteati; Nitrososphaerota. The record is from RNAcentral.
GCGAAAACUUCACACUGCAGGAAACUGUGAUGAGGGAACUCCUAGUGACAUGCACUAUGUUGUAUGUAGAUCCUUACUUCUUAAACAAGUAGAGGGAAAGGGCUGGGAAAGACCGGUGCCAGCCGCCGCGGUAAUACCGGCAGCUCAAGUGGUCGUCGCUUUUAUUGGGCCUAAAACGUCCGUAGCCUGUUUGGUAAAUCUGUGGGUAAAUCAAUCCGCUCAACGGAUUGAAUUCUGCAGAGACUGCCAGACUAGGGACCGGGAGAGGUGUGGGGGUACUCUAGGGGUAGGGGUAAAAUCCUGUUCAU